This is a non-coding RNA of Pelobates cultripes (western spadefoot toad), 10649 nucleotides long. The record is from the annotation of a GenBank genome assembly. NCBI's taxonomy places the organism in Eukaryota, Metazoa, Chordata, Amphibia, Anura, Pelobatidae.
CUGCUCUAGAGUGUGCAGUGUCAGAUACACUGCCAGUGUGGAGACAGGGACCAGAUGACGCUGCUCGCUGUGAUGAGGUAAGUAAGGUCGCCGCAAGGGGUGCGGGGGCAGGGGACCUGACAGUGUCAGUGAAUGUGUGAGUGUGUGUAUGUCAGUGAGUGCAUGUGUCUCUGAGAGUGUGUUUGUGUCAGCGUGUCUCUGUCAGUGAACAUGUGUGUUAAACAGUGUGUGAGACAAUGACUGUCAGUGAGGGCAUGUUGUUCCCCCACACUGUCACCUUCCUAUACACCGCCCUGCUGUACUGUCACCUUCCUACACACUGCCCCCCCAUACUAUCACAUUCCUACACACUGUCCCUCCCCUUCCAGGCCACAGGUAAGAGGCAGGGAGGAUGGUUAAGCCCAAUUUAUAUUAAACGGCUCACUUCCCAGCACUUAUCCAACACUACAUGCACAUCCACUACACAGACACUGCAUCCACUAGACAUACUGCAUCCACCACACAAACACUACAGUAGUUCCACUACACAAACACAGACACUGCAUACACUACAUACACACACAAUGUAUUCAAUACAUACACUGCAUACAAUACAAAUUACAUCCAUGACAUGGAAGAAGUGGGGAGAAAAGACAUGAAAGGGAGGGGAACAGAGACAUGGAUGGUGGGGGGGGUGGGGCAAAAAAACAUGGAUUCUUCAAUCCAUGGGGUAGAUGCGAGCUGAAUGGACAGUGUUGCUAAUUGGCCAUCUAGCCGGCGGCCCGGACCAUGCAGCACUAGGCGCUGUUCCAUAAAGCAGCGACCACACAUGAGGAGAAAUGCCUGCCGAGAGCAGCAACCAACAUACAGAACUUCUGAGUCUCCCCAAGGAAAAGCUUGGUUACUGUGAGUGCCCGGGCUCGGAAUAGAAUGGUCGGCCCGCAAGAUCGCAACACAAGAGAAGCGCUCUGUGGUCAUACUGCCAGACCCUUUUACAGGAACUCUACCUUUUACCUAAGGGAAUUGGCUGAUUCUUGCUACAAUCCUGAUACAUGCAUCACCAUCUCCUCAACCAAAAACAGAUGUAUACCUGCCUCUUUUUUGAUUUUAUUCAUGUUGUUUUGUUUUCAUCUUUUAAUUUAAUAGUUUGGGGUAUGGUGACAUUGUGGCAAACCCUGCCACUAUAACUGACUAUUCUGUGCGAAUGAAAGACUUUUCACCAAGGGAAUAACUCACCGAAUAGACUUUCGUGUUAUAUUGCUGUUUUAGACGAAUGGCCGAAACUACCGAACGUGAGACCACCCCGGGGUGGUCGUGUGUUGCUAAUUAACAGACCGAUACAAUGUUGCGAGGGAAUUAAGUGCCUGUAUGUGUGGCCGCCAUUUCGCAUACUGAACACGUGUCGGCGGCCAUCUUACGCAUGAACAGCGGUACUUGGUUGUCGAAUGCCUGGAACUCAAACCGGGCAUUCGACUAACCAAGUACCGCUGAGACCUCCAGCAUGCUAAGACAGCACGAAUCAAACCCACGAACGCCCCGACGUUCGGUAGAUAGAUUCCCCUAAACGAGGGGAUUCGUGCAAAGGCUGGCAAUCGCAUGGAUGGCUAUGUCAUUCGGUAUUUUUAAUUCACUGAAAUAGACCGACCGCAGGGCCAGAAUUCAUGGAACUGUUUUCGGCUACUGAGUCCCUGCGGUCGGUCAAAUCUUUAACUGUCUGUAACUCCCGAACCCCUGGUCCGAUCUGGGUGAAUUUCGAGUAUGUUGCUCACCCAGAUCAGACCUACCAGGGGACCCCUUAUUUGUCCCUGUACCCCCUGUAUUAAGGGGACAUCCAGAAAGUGGGGAAAACUUUGUCUUCACUAAUUUGUUUAAGGGCUAAUCUAAGGGGAGGAGAGUGAGGGGAGGUGAACGGGUUACAAUUGGCUACUGUAAUAAUUAUGAAAGUUACCUCCCUUGCAUGGGAGAAAUGCAUAAAAACAGACCUGUGAUUAAAGCUGACAGUUGACUCCCAGACUAUGUGUCGUCUAGUCCUUGGGGAGGUGGAUUAUGCUGUGUUCCUGUGAUUUUGUAUGCUGAAUCUUUGUUCCCAGCGGAGAGCCUUUGGAUUAACCCCUGCUCCUCCACUACAAUUGGUGGCAAGCGACGGGAUUCAAACCUCACAGCAGACCGUUGUUCGGCAGUUACAGCCAUUCGUGGAAAUGUACUAUUCGUAUGGAAACGAAAGGAAAGGGUAUGUGAAUAUACCCGAACGGAUAGUGAAUGGGGAAAGAUUAUACCAGCUUGAAACGGGCCACUCUAAAAGAGCUAUUGGAAGCAAAGGGAAUUAUUGCCAGCAAUAAAGCCAAAGCUACCCUUAUUGCUGAACUCAUGGAGGGAGACCGGGUAGCUGCUGCAGCACCUCUUAUGGACAGCACACAAACUGAAUUUGGAAGGGAACUCCAAAGCAGACUAGCCUUUUUCCCAGAUACACCUCCCAUAGACACCUUGGAAAGGAUUAUGGCAGAUGUUCACCAAUAUAUUAUGGCAAAGCAGCAGGCAGACUGGAGGUCCAGAGAGGGGUCCCCAACACCACCACACAUAGUACAAGGAAAGCCUAAAAUUCCGUACCAUGCUUUUAAAAGUUAUGUGGAAACCGAGGACAUUGAUGGCUACCUGCAUGACUUUGAGAAGUUAUGCCAGCUACAUGAGAUUGACGCUGCUGACCAGGUACCCCUGCUGGUGGGCAAGCUAGCAGGCCGGGCAGCAGAAGCCUACCGCACCAUGCCAGAUGAGGACAGCAGGGAUUACCAGAAAGUAAGGCAGGCGAUCCUGACCAGGUAUGCCAUCACCCCAGAGGCGUACCGGCAGCGGUUCAGAGACAGCCGGAAGACGGAGAGAGACACCCACAUGGAGUGGGCACACCGCUUAACUAGGGUGGGCAAAGGAUGGGUACAAGCAGCGCAAGCAACCACAGUGGAGGAUAUGCUCCAGUUACUGCUGCUAGAACAAUUCUUCCAGGGAUUAACCUCGGAUUUACAAAACUGGCUGCGAGACCGGAAGCCACGCACCUUAACCGAUGCAGCCAGGUUAGCAGAUGAAUAUCAAGAUGCCAGAAGGGCACAGCGGACACAGUCACGGCCCACCGCGGGUACUGCUACCGCACCUCCCACUGUUACCCCCACCCCAUCACUGCGUCCGGGCGGGGGGAACUACCAAACCCCUCCCCGGUACAACAAUGCCCGCUCGUUCAUCAGGUGCCACACAUGUAACCAGCAGGGCCACAUACAGAGAGACUGUCCCAGGAACAAAAGCCGCCCCACGUGGAAUACACCAACCAACUCCCCUGCACACUGGGCAGCGGUACACUGCUACCAGAGUGAGCCCCGACAAACCCACCUCUGGGCUGGGUCCAAUGAAGAACCGUUGGGCACGCUCCAUGAGGUCAACCCCAUACAAGCGGCUGCAGACAACCGGCAGGGACACCGCCAAGGGGUGCACGUAGAGGGAAAGCGCUUACAGGGUCUGCGCGACUCUGGGGCCACUAUAACUCUGGUGCGCAAUCACCUAGUUCCCAAGAACCAGCUAACUGGAGAAUAUGUGGCCGUUCGGGUGGCAGGGGGAGCUAUUUACAAAAUUCCUACUGCCAAGGUACAUUUGGAUUGGGGAGCGGGGUCAGGGAAUGUGGAAGUGGGCCUCAUGCAGGAUCUACCCGCUGAUGUCAUCCUGGGCAACGACUUGGGGGAGCUGACCUCCGCUUUUGUUUCUCAGCACCCAGCGCAGGAAGCACUACCCAUGGUAACACGGCAGCAAGCUCGCACUACCGCAUCGUCGGAACACUCUGAGGCUCAGGUAAGCAACAGUCCUACCCCCCUUUUGUCCCCUGGGCUCCCCCCUUAGAAUUUGGCACUGAAGUAGUCACCGACCUGUCUUUGCAGGUAUACCGGGAUAGGGUUACGGAGAAUCAGGCGGGAUUAGAGGGGGAGAGAUAUGCUUGGGAGAAAGGAUUACUGUACCGGCACGCCGAGAAGGUAGUAGCAGGAUCUGUACCCAUGACCCUCAUGCAAUUAGUAGUACCCAAAAAGUACAGACAGGAGUUAUUGCGCAUUGCCCACGACAUCCCAUUGUCCGGGCACCUAAGCGUCAGUAGGACGAAACACUGUUUGACCCAAAACUUCUUUUGGCCAGGGGUGUCUAAAGAUAUCCGGCAGUAUUGCCAAACUUGCGAUACGUGCCAGAGGGUAGGGAAGAGAGGGGACCGUUACAAGGCAAAAAUGCACUCCCUUCCCAUAAUAGAGGAGCCCUUUAGUAGAGUGGCAGUUGACAUAAUUGGACCCCUAGCGAAACCCAGUCCGUCUGGGAAAAAGUAUAUCCUAACCGUAGUAGAUUACGCUACCCGGUACCCAGAGGCAGUGGCCCUAAGUAAUAUCCAUGCCGAAACUAUAGUGGAUGCCCUGAUCCGGAUAUUCUCCCGAAUGGGGUUUCCUAAGGAGAUUAUCUCAGAUCGGGGUACCCAAUUCACGGCUGAAGUCACUCACCAGUUAUGGAGAACAUGUGGGGUGAAACCUAUUGUAAACUCAGCGUAUCACCCUCAGUCCAAUGGGCUCUGUGAACGUUUCAACGGAACAUUAAAGCAAAUGCUCCGUACGUUCAUGGAUACCCAGAAGGACUGGGAAAGGUUUCUUCCCCAUCUGCUCUUCGCUUACCGAGAGGUACCCCAGGAGUCCACAGGGUUCUCGCCAUUCGAAUUACUAUUCGGAAGGAGAGUGCGGGGUCCCUUGGACCUCAUUAGGGAACACUGGGAAGGGACUGUCACGAGUAAUGGUACCCCUAUCGUCCCAUAUGUGCUAGAAUUCAGGGAGCGCUUGGAGACCCUAAUCCAGACGGUACGGUCUAAUCUCCAGGCGGCCCAACAACGACAGCGCAGAUGGUACAAUAGGGGAGCCAGGGACCGCAGUUUUCAAAUAGGGCAAAAGGUGCUAAUCCUAAAACUGGUCCAAAAUGACAAACUGCAGGCCUCAUGGCAGGGCCCUUAUAAAGUGGUUGAACAGGUAUGUGACACCACUUAUAUAAUUGCCCCAUGUACGGGAGCGGGCAGUAGGCGCAUGCUCCACGUUAACAUGUUAAAGCCGUACCACGAGCGGACAGAGGAAGUAACUGCCAUAUGUGCUUCAGCAGCCGAGGACCCAGACAAGGUGCUAGAAAAAGGUGGCCUGACACAGAAUUAGGGGAAGUACAGCUAGGAGACAGGCUGAGUAAUAGAGAGCGAGCUCAAAUACUAGAGCUGAUCCGAGAGAAAGGGGAUACAUUUUCCAAUCGGCCCGGAUAUACCCCCCUGGCUACCCACAGGGUAGAAACCCCAGGGCAACACCCUCUUCGGCAAACUCCUUACCGCAUACCCGAAUCUGUGAAAGAUCAUAUGCGGAAGGAGAUUGAUGAAAUGCUACAGCUAGGAGUGAUAGAACACUCAGAUAGCCCAUGGGCCUCUCCGGUAGUACUGGUACCGAAGCAGGACGGAAUCACCCGCUUCUGCAUCGACUACCGGAAACUUAACGAUAAAACGAUCUCUGAUGCCUACCCUAUGCCUAGAAUCGAUGAGCUCCUAGAUACAAUGGCCCGGGGCCAGUAUCUCACCACAAUAGACUUGUGCAAAGGAUACUGGCAGAUCCCACUAGCCGAGGAUGCCAUCCCAAAGUCCGCAUUCGUCACUCCGUUUGGGCUAUACCAAUUUAAGGUAAUGCCAUUCGGAAUGAAGAAUGCGCCGGCUACCUUUCAGCGGAUGGUAGAUCGGCUACUGGACGGGUCCCAGGAGUACGCUUGCGCCUAUUUAGACGAUAUAGCAAUCUUUAGUAACUCCUGGGACGAACAUUUAACUCAUAUAGGAGCCAUCCUCGACCGCAUUAGGGAGGCAGGUCUCACGUUGAAACCCAGCAAGUGCCAUGUAGGGAUGGCGGAGGUGCAGUACUUGGGCCACCGGGUGGGCAGUGGGCAACAAAAGCCAGAACCUGCUAAGAUAGAGGCCGUUGCUAAGUGGCCGACCCCUCGCACGAAAACCCAAGUUUUAGCUUUCCUAGGGACCGCCGGUUACUACCGUAAAUUUGUACCCAGUUAUAGCACCCUAGCAAAGCCCCUCACUGAUCUCACCAAGAAGAACCUGCCCAAAGUAGUUACCUGGAGCCCAGAGUGGGAGAAAGCAUUCCAAGAACUGAAAACUGCCCUGAUUCAUGCAACUGUACUUGCCGCUCCCGAUCCAACUAAACGCUUUCUCGUUCAUACAGACACUUCUAUGUUUGGAUUGGGAGCAGUGCUGAGCCAGGUCGGGGCCGAUGGUGGCGAACAUCCCAUCGCUUACUUAAGUCAGAAAUUACUACCCAGGGAAGUAAGCUAUGCCGCCAUCGAGAAGGAAUGCCUGGCGGUAGUGUGGGCCCUCAAGAAACUCCAGCCCUACUUAUAUGGACAACAAUUUGCCUUGCUCACAGAUCACAACCCGUUGGUGUGGCUAAACCGGUUGUCAGGGGACAAUGCUAGACUGCUGCGAUGGAGCUUGGCGCUGCAGCCCUUUGAUUUCACCAUCCAGCACCGCCCGGGAAAACAAAAUGGUAAUGCCGACAGGUUGUCCCGACAGACAGAACUGGAAAAAUUAUCUGUGAGCACUCUCCGUUGGGAUCAGACUGUGUAUGCUGGCUUGGUUCUGGGGGAGCAUUGUGGCAAACCCUGCCACUAUAACUGACUAUUCUGUGCGAAUGAAAGACUUUUCACCAAGGGAAUAACUCACCGAAUAGACUUUCGUGUUAUAUUGCUGUUUUAGACGAAUGGCCGAAACUACCGAACGUGAGACCACCCCGGGGUGGUCGUGUGUUGCUAAUUAACAGACCGAUACAAUGUUGCGAGGGAAUUAAGUGCCUGCAUGUGUGGCCGCCAUUUCGCAUACCGAACACGUGUCGGCGGCCAUCUUACGCACGAACAGCGGUACUUGGUUGUUGAACGCCUGGAACUUAAACCGGGCAUUCGACUAACCAAGUACCGCUGAGACCUCCAGCAUGCUCCGACAGCACGAAUCAAACCCACGAACGCCCCGGCGUUCGGUAAAUAGAUUCCCCUAAACGAGGGGAUUCGUGCAAAGGCUGGCAAUCGCAUGGAUGGCUAUGUCAUUCGGUAUUUUUAAUUCACUGAAAUAGACCGACCGCAGGGCCAGAAUUCAUGGAACUGUUUUCGGCUACUGAGUCCCUGCGGUCGGUCAAAACUGUAACUGUCUGUAACUCCCGAACCCCUGGUCCGAUCUGGGUGAAUUUCGAGUAUGUUGCUCACCCAGAUCAGACCUACCAGGGGACCCCUUAUUUGUCCCUGUACCCCCUGUAUUUAGGGGACAUCCAGAAAGUGGGGGAAACUUUGUCUUCACUAAUUUGUUUAAGGGCUAAUCUAAGGGGAGGAGAGUGAGUGGAGGUGACCGGGUUACAAUUGGCUACUGUAAUAAUUAUGAAAGUUACCUCCCUUGCAUGGGAGAAAUGCAUAAAAACAGACCUGUGAUUAAAGCUGACAGUUGACUCCCAGACUAUGUGUCGUCUAGUCCUUGGGGAGGUCGAUUAUGCUGUGUUCCUGUGAUUUUGUAUGCUGAAUCUUUGUUCCCAGCGGAGAGCCUUUGGAUUAACCCCUGCUCCUCCACUACAAUUGGUGGCAACGACGGGAUUCAAACCUCACAGCAGACCGUUGUUCGGCAGUUACAGCCAUUCGUGGAAAUGUACUAUUCGUAUGGAAACGAAAGGAAAGGGUAUGUGAAUAUACCCGAACGGAUAGUGAAUGGGGAAAGAUUAACCCCUACUUAACCCCUGCUCCUACGGUACUUAACCCCUGCUCCUCCGCUACAGACAGUGCUAGAAUUAACCCCAGAGGUUCUACUCUACGGCCACUUCUAUGGCAUUUAAUAGUGUAUUACAGGCUAGAAUAUCCCACACUGCUUGUGGUACACUAGAUGCAGCUGUAUUGCUCAAAUAAUAAGCUUUAACACGUAUGCUUACAUGCUAUGACAGUGUCUGUUAACCCAGUGGUAUCUAUUUAUUUGGUACUGUUAUGAAGGCUGGUAUGUCAGAUAUCCAUUCAUAUUCGAUUCCUCCCGAACUGCUAAGAGCUAAGUGAUUAUAACUUGCAGUUCGGGUAUCAAGACGAAUAGUCUCCAGCUAGAAUGCAGCAUACAAGACGUAUUACCCAGCAGUCAGGCAUAUACCCAAACAUCAGCCUGAACUAGAAGAAGGGUACAACAGCAAUGGUUUAUUCAGGCCAACCGAAUGGCUUUUUAUGCAAGUCCUCAUGAAUGGGGUUUACAAUAACAUAUUCCAGUGGCAUUCCCCACUGGAGCUGAGGGGGCACAGGGACAAAGUACAUACUGUAGAUACAUUGGCUCUCAGGUCCAGGACACAUAGAAUACAAUAAACCUUUCCCUUUACUUAAUAGCUAAUUGAGUCAAGCAUUGUACUAAACUCAAUUAUCUCCAAACACAAAAAAACACAUAUUUUCACAAAACCCCGAAAGUACUUUAAACCCCUGGGAAACCCCACAAAAGUCAUAUCUGCUGAUAGCCCCGAUCUGGGGGCUAAUAUAUCCCAAAAUCACCCAGAUCGUUUCAGGGGUUCGGGAUUUCCAUGGAAGUGUUAAUUUGACCUCUUUCGGGAAGUCUAAAAACUGAACAAGUCCACAAACCUUUCCCCUGGUUCAUAAGUAGCUUUUUGUGGCGAAAGUGACCUCGCCACUGGGUUUUGGAGGAAGAGGAGAUGUGGAGACAACUGGCCUCUCUCCCCAGCAGCAAAGCAUCCUACAGGGAGAGGAGGCAACCGGUCUCCCUCCCAAGUGCCAGUGUAUCCUGCAGGGAGGGAGAAAAUCUCACUCCCCAACAGCAGUCUGUGUUACAGGGAGGCGAGACAACCAAUCUCACUCCCCAGUGGCAGUGUACUUUGCAGGGAGAGGAGAUAACUGGUCUCUCUCCCCAGCGGCAGACAGAGUCACAGGGAGAGGAGAGCAUCAUCCUCCCUCCCAAGCGGCAGUUUACCUUGCAGGGAGAGGAGAAAACCGGUCUCUCCCUCCAGCGACAGUGUAUCCUGCAGGGAAGGGAGACGACCGGUCUCACUCCUCAAUGGCAGGGUGAGUUUCAGGAAGAGGAGACAACCGGUCUCUCUCCCCAUCGGCAGUGUAUACUGCAGGGAGGGGAGACAACCGGUCUCACUCCCCAGCGGCAGGGUGAGUUUCACGGAGAGUAGACAAAUGGCACUUAAUUCACAGUUUCCUUUGAUGUUAAUGAGCCAGCGGGGUGGUCGUGUUCGGUAGUUUUAACUAACGAACAGGGAAAAUAACUACAUGAUCAAGCUUGUUGUUAUUUUUAAUUUUAUUUUCCCGACUUAUACUAACUAUCACAAAUGAAGUCAGACAUUUCAGCUAGUUAACCAUAUUAAAGUUAACCAUAUUAUGAUUGCGAUAUGAUUCUCAUUUCCUGUUACUCUAUAGUCAUUCACGAUCCAUUUACUCUUAGUGCAUAUAAUCUAUCUUACUCACAAGACAGCGACUACUUCAAAAUGCGCUAUACCUCUCUUGUCUUACAUCUCAUAAAAAAAAAUAUGUGCUGAUGUUUAUGUACACUUACUAUGUGUGGUUUAAGCUAUUAUUAUAUAAUUAUAUAUAAAAAAAAUUAUAACAACUAAAUAGCAUGUGUUCGUUUCUGUUUAGUAAAAGCAGCUCACUGACGAUUACAGUGACUGAACUAAAUGGUCUAAGACAGAGACUUAAUUGUGGAUGCAUUCAACAUUGUUUUUCAGACAAUGUCCUAUGUAUGGAGACAAGUGGCACUUUGAGUUUUAGUGGCUACAAACUAUGAAAGGCAGUAUUGACCAUUGUAUUGAAUUUACACUUUAAACAUAUGGAAAAAAAUAGUACACUGAUCAGUGGAUGGGAGAUUAUAAUAUUGAUGACAUUUUCCAAACCCACCACACAAAAAAGAGGCACAGGCUCUAACAGAUAGGACCCAAGACAUGAAAAUAGUAAUACAGUAAUUUAAAAAAUCUUUCGGACUAGAAUGAAAUACUGUAUUUCCUUACACUUUACGUUGGGUGUCUUAGAUGCCGUUCACUGACAAGUUGUUUUUUUAACAGAUAAAGUUUGGCAAUAUAUCUCCAGAUAGAUAUAUAGAUGGAUAAAUCAAAAUCUGUUUAAACAGCAAUAUCAUAGAUCGAGCCGAUCAUAGUCUUAAUUAAAUGAAAUUAAAAUCUGUAUAAGUUUACACUCUCCUAUUGCACUUUCUUUGAGAUGUAUCUACAUAAAAAGACAUGUAAUAUACAUUUGUAAUCCCCCAGGAAUGAAAUAUUUGGGUUAGGGUUUUGGGUUUUGUUCAUGUGGUUUUUCACUGCAGACAAAUUUCUUCCACCCAACAGAAUAUUUUGCAGUACGCAUUUUGUUCACAGAUCAAGUGAGAAGAAGUAACCAACAGAGGGAAAAAGAGAAGCAAAACAAUAUAUAUCUAUAUUUAUAUAUUAUAGCAAUACUUGUAAUAUAUAUUAUAAUAAAUAAAUAUAUUUUUUACUGCUAGGUCCAACAGAUACCUGGGGCUUGAGCCUAAAGCAAAACUUGUUGAAUACACCAAAUUCAUCCACUGUCCACGAGGAGCACUGACUGAGAACACGUGCAGCACUCUGCAGCCUGAUCUGACAGUGUUG